AGAGUAAUAGCUCAGUGGUAGAGCUUAGCAUGCCCAAGGUCCUGGGUUCAAUUCCCAGUACCUCCA
This 66-nucleotide transfer RNA is filed under the name Camelus bactrianus (Bactrian camel). It matches the Rfam family "tRNA". Rfam says of the family: Transfer RNA (tRNA) molecules are approximately 80 nucleotides in length. The record is from Rfam by way of RNAcentral. Lineage: Eukaryota; Metazoa; Chordata; Mammalia; Artiodactyla; Camelidae. RNAcentral also lists the same sequence under 3 other names.